Molecule: ribosomal RNA, 490 nt
Filed under: uncultured bacterium
Lineage: Bacteria
Description: partial 16S ribosomal RNA
Rfam family: Bacterial small subunit ribosomal RNA
Source: RNAcentral
AUUGAACGCUGGCGGCAGGCCUAACACAUGCAAGUCGAACGGUAACAGGAAACAGCUUGCUGUUUCGCUGACGAGUGGCGGACGGGUGAGUAAUGUCUGGGAAACUGCCUGAUGGGGGGGGAUAACUACUGGAAACGGUAGCUAAUACCGCAUAACGUCGCAAGACCAAGGAGGGGGACCUUCGGGCCUCUUGCCAUCGGAUGUGCCCAGAUGGGAUUAGCUAGUAGGUGGGGUAACGGCUCACCUAGGCGACGAUCCCUAGCUGGUCUGAGAGGAUGACCAGCCACACUGGAACUGAGACACGGUCCAGACUCCUACGGGAGGCAGCAGUGGGGAAUAUUGCACAAUGGGCGCAAGCCUGAUGCAGCCAUGCCGCGUGUAUGAAGAAGGCCUUCGGGUUGUAAAGUACUUUCAGCGGGGAGGAAGGGAGUAAAGUUAAUACCUUUGCUCGUUGACGUUACCCGCAGAAGAAGCACCGGCUAACUCCGUG